This 285-nucleotide ribosomal RNA is filed under the name unidentified marine bacterioplankton. RNAcentral describes it as "partial 16S ribosomal RNA". It matches the Rfam family "Bacterial small subunit ribosomal RNA", at positions 56 to 339 of the family's 1533-position model. The record is from RNAcentral.
UGCAAGUCGAGGGGCAGCACGAUCUUCGGAUUGGUGGCGACCGGCGCACGGGUGCGUAACGCGUAUAGAACCUACCUUUUACAGAGGGAUAGCCCGAAGAAAUUCGGAUUAAUACUCCAUAAUAUAUGUCCUUCGCAUGUUGGACAUAUUAAAGCUUUGGCGGUUAAAGAUGGGCAUGCGUAACAUUAGCUAGUUGGUAAGGUAACGGCUUACCAAGGCUACGAUGUUUAGGGGGCCUGAGAGGGUUAUCCCCCCACACUGGAACUGAGACACGGUCCAGACUCC